GAAGAUGUGGCUCAGUGGUAGAGCACCUGCCUACGAUGCACAAGACCCUGGGUUCAAUUCCCAGUGAAUACA
Molecule: transfer RNA, 72 nt
Filed under: Fukomys damarensis (Damara mole-rat)
Lineage: Eukaryota; Metazoa; Chordata; Mammalia; Rodentia; Bathyergidae
Rfam family: tRNA
About the family: Transfer RNA (tRNA) molecules are approximately 80 nucleotides in length. Their secondary structure includes four short double-helical elements and three loops (D, anti-codon, and T loops).
Source: Rfam by way of RNAcentral